Molecule: transfer RNA, 88 nt
Filed under: Opitutia bacterium
Lineage: Bacteria; Pseudomonadati; Verrucomicrobiota; Opitutia
Description: tRNA-Ser
Rfam family: tRNA
About the family: Transfer RNA (tRNA) molecules are approximately 80 nucleotides in length. Their secondary structure includes four short double-helical elements and three loops (D, anti-codon, and T loops).
Source: RNAcentral
GGAGAGAUGGCAGAGUGGCCGAAUGCGGUAGUCUUGAAAACUAUUGAGCCGAAAGGUUCCGAGGGUUCGAAUCCCUCUCUCUCCGCCA